CUUGCGGUCAAAUCACGAUGAAAACACCUUUCGAUCACUGAAGUUAAGCAUCGUAGAGCCAGGUCAGUACUCAGAUGGGGGACCGCUUGGGCACAGCUGGUACUGUAAG
Molecule: non-coding RNA, 109 nt
Organism: Acanthosepion pharaonis
Lineage: Eukaryota; Metazoa; Mollusca; Cephalopoda; Sepiida; Sepiidae
Source: the annotation of a GenBank genome assembly